RNAcentral lists this long non-coding RNA (698 nucleotides) under Actinidia chinensis (golden kiwifruit). RNAcentral describes it as "long non-coding RNA (ACHI_LNC008439)". Lineage: Eukaryota; Viridiplantae; Streptophyta; Magnoliopsida; Ericales; Actinidiaceae. The record is from RNAcentral.
CCAAUUGAAAUGGCUUCAAAAUCCUACCAAACAACACUACGUGAUCAAUCACAAUCUAGGCUACACCAUCACAUCCUAAUUGAAAUGACUUCAGAAUCUCACUAAACAACACCACAUGAUCAAUCAAAACCUAAGGGUAUCCCCAUCGUGAUCUCAACAAAUUCUCAAAAUUUUUAACCUUUACUGAUGCUCAAAUUACAAAAUAAGACAAUUUACCUAACCACAUUACAAAUAUCAAAUUCAUAACAAACAACAAAACAACAUAAAGGACUAGAGGAAACAGAAACCGCACUUGGACUCAAUGGACAAGCCCGACGUUAAUCGAGUCGAAGCUAUCGCACUGGGCAACGGCAUCAUCGAUUCCAAACAGCUCAGUUCCACCGGUAACCUAACCCCCAGCAAACACACACAAACACAUCUUCCGGUAUAAACACCUACACACACACACACACACACACAUAUAUAUAUAUAGAUAGAUAGAUAGAUAGAUAGAUAUAGAGAGAGAUUUGGGCGUUCUGACCUUGAGGAGCGAGAAAUGCGUUGAGCGGAGGCAGUGGCCGGAGACUGACGUACCGCUUUGAGCAGUGGGACGUCGAAUGAGAGAGAGCUUUUGGUGAAUUUGCGGGCCAGAGGUCGAAGGCGAGAAGAUAACCUAGCUUCUACUGUGGAAGAUGCCAUUGAGGUCUUCUUUGGUCGCG